RNAcentral lists this ribosomal RNA (310 nucleotides) under uncultured Leptotrichia sp. Its description in RNAcentral is "partial 16S ribosomal RNA". It matches the Rfam family "Bacterial small subunit ribosomal RNA", at positions 468 to 776 of the family's 1533-position model. The record is from RNAcentral. Lineage: Bacteria; Fusobacteriati; Fusobacteriota; Fusobacteriia; Fusobacteriales; Leptotrichiaceae.
UGUGAGGAAAUUCGUAGAAGAAGAACCGGCUAACUAUGACCCAGCAGCAGCGGUAAUAGUAUGGGGGCAAGCGUCAAUCGUAAUUAUUUAACGUAAAAAAGAACGCAGGCGGUUGGAGAAGUAAGAUGUGAAAGCCCCGGGCUCUACCUGGGAAUUGCAUUUAAAAAUGUCCACCUAGAGUCUCUUAGAGGGGGGUAGAAUUCCAGGUGUAGAGGUGAAAUACGUAGAGAUCUGGAGGAAUACCGGUGGGGAAGAAGGCCCCCUGGACAAAAACUGACGCUCAAGUGCGAAAACGUGGGGAGCAAACAGG